CACAUCUCAACCGAAAUAUUUGUAAAGCGAUACGAACGAGUUACGAGAUGAAAUCCGCAAUGUUCAAAAACGCGAUUCAUAACACAUAUACUUUGAUCUCGUUUUCAUAUCGCUAGUUCGUAUUUGGAUCGCUUGAGUGAAAUGAAUGAAACUAUAUUUUUUUAAUUGCCAUGCAAAAAUAAUAAAUACUACCACUAAUUGUUUUAAAUAAUUUUGUUCCUACAAUAUAUUUUGUUGGAAUUAGUGACGAUAGCAAGUAUUAAAAAACGGCUUUUUAAUUCAACGUUGAAGAAAUUCAUAACCUGUGGCACUUUUGACAGCCGCCAUGUUUUCUUUUCUACAUAAGCUGUUUGCUCAUUUUCGUGUCAACGUAGUUUUUUUGGAAAAUAAGAAGAAAGGAAGUUUAACUAACUUAGAGAAAUACGACUGAGACAUAAUCAUGAACGAGAUGAACACAAGCAGCAGCGGAUGUGCUUGAGUUGCAGAUGGAGCAACUGCGUUGUGAGAGGGCCACGGCUUCAGCCCUCCCAAUGAUAGCUGAUUAACUGAAGCAAUGAACAGACAGGCUGCAGUCAAUGAGAGGCUUCUUGAGCAGGGGCUCCUCAUAUGGAAAAAGGCUAAUGAAAGGAACAAUCAAGACUGGCGGUGCGCGGGAGGAUCCCGUCCCUACGCAUGCGCCUGGCCUUCAAUGGCCUCACGCCUCUCUUCUUCCUCUUCUUCAUGCGUCAAUUCAAACAGAGGAGCACCUGUGAUUACUGAUUACCUAAGUUCCUAUAUACAAUAA
Long non-coding RNA from Plutella xylostella (diamondback moth), 784 nucleotides. RefSeq lists it as uncharacterized. The record is from RefSeq and is a predicted model, not a curated record. NCBI's taxonomy places the organism in Eukaryota, Metazoa, Arthropoda, Insecta, Lepidoptera, Plutellidae.